CGGCGAGUGAAGCGGCAACAGCUCAAAUUUGAAAUCUGGCUCCUUCCGGGGCCCGAGUUGUAAUUUGUAGAGGGUGCUUUGGCGUCGGCCAUGGUCUAAGUUCCUUGGAACAGGGCGUCACAGAGGGUGAGAAUCCCGUACGUGGCCGCUGGCCUUCGCCAUGUAAAGCCCCUUCGACGAGUCGAGUUGUUUGGGAAUGCAGCUCUAAAUGGGAGGUAAAUUUCUUCUAAAGCUAAAUAUUGGCCAGAGACCGAUAGCGCACAAGUAGAGUGAUCGAAAGAUGAAAAGCACUUUGGAAAGAGAGUCAAAAAGCACGUGAAAUUGUUGAAAGGGAAGCGCUUGCAGCCAGACUUGCACGUAGUUGCUCAUCCGGGUUUCGGCCCGGUGCACUCUUCUGCGGGCAGGCCAGCAUCAGUUCAGGCGGUCGGAUAAAGGUCCCGGGAAUGUGGCUCUCUUCGGGGAGUGUUAUAGCCCGGGGCGCAAUGCGGCCAGCUUGGACUGAGGUCCGCGCAUCUGCUAGGAUGCUGGCGUAAUGGCUGUAAGCGGCCCGUCUUGAAACACGGACCAAGGAGUCUAACAUCUAUGCGAGUGUUUGGGUGUCAAGCCCGAGCGCGUAAUGAAAGUGAACGGAGGUGGGAACCCGCAAGGGCGCACCAUCGACCGAUCCUGAUGUCUUCGGAUGGAUUUGAGUAAGAGCAUAGCUGUUGGGACCCGAAAGAUGGUGAACUAUGCCUGAAUAGGGUGAAGCCAGAGGAAACUCUGGUGGAGGCUCGCAGCGGUUCUGACGUGCAAAUCGAUCGUCAAAUUUGGGCAUAGGGGCGA
RNAcentral lists this ribosomal RNA (822 nucleotides) under Clohesyomyces sp. Its description in RNAcentral is "partial large subunit ribosomal RNA". It matches the Rfam family "Eukaryotic large subunit ribosomal RNA", at positions 87 to 926 of the family's 3401-position model. RNAcentral also lists the same sequence under 1 other name. Lineage: Eukaryota; Fungi; Ascomycota; Dothideomycetes; Pleosporales; Lindgomycetaceae. The record is from RNAcentral.